Molecule: ribosomal RNA, 253 nt
Filed under: uncultured bacterium
Lineage: Bacteria
Description: partial 16S ribosomal RNA
Rfam family: Bacterial small subunit ribosomal RNA
Source: RNAcentral
UACGGAGGGUGCAAGCGUUAUCCGGAUUUACUGGGUUUAAAGGGUUCGUAGGUGGCCUGCCAAGUCAGUGGUGAAAUACCGCAGCUUAACUGCGGAACUGCCAUUGAUACUAGCGGGCUUGAAUUUGGUUGAAGUGGGCGGAAUACAUCAUGUAGUGGUGAAAUACUUAGAUAUGAUGUAGAACACCGAUUGCGAAGGCAGCUCACUAAGCCAACAUUGACACUGAGGAACGAAAGCAUGGGGAUCAAACAGG